Molecule: ribosomal RNA, 511 nt
Filed under: uncultured Glomus
Lineage: Eukaryota; Fungi; Glomeromycota; Glomeromycetes; Glomerales; Glomeraceae
Description: SSU rRNA
Rfam family: Eukaryotic small subunit ribosomal RNA
Source: RNAcentral
AGCAGCCGCGGUAAUUCCAGCUCCAAUAGCGUAUAUUAAAGUUGUUGCAGUUAAAAAGCUCGUAGUUGAAUUUCGGGAUCAGUACGCUGGUCAUGCCUUUGGUAUGCACUGGUGUCACUGGUUUCUCCCUUCUGAAGAUCCGUGAUGUCAUUAAUUUGGUGUCGCGGGGAAUCAGGACUGUUACUUUGAAAAAUUAGAGUGUUUAAAGCAGGCUCACGCUUGAAUACAUUAGCAUGGAAUAAUGAAAUAGGACGUUUGACCCUAUUUUGUUGGUUUCUAGGAUCGACGUAAUGAUUAAUAGGGAUAGUUGGGGGCAUUAGUAUUCAAUUGUCAGAGGUGAAAUUCUUGGAUUUAUUGAAGACUAACUACUGCGAAAGCAUUUGCCAAGGAUGUUUUCAUUAAUCAAGAACGAAAGUUAGGGGAUCGAAGACGAUCAGAUACCGUCGUAGUCUUAACCAUAAACUAUGCCGACUAGGGAUCGGAUGAUGUUAAUUUUAUAAUGACUCAUUCC